Molecule: ribosomal RNA, 259 nt
Filed under: uncultured archaeon
Lineage: Archaea
Description: partial 16S ribosomal RNA
Rfam family: Archaeal small subunit ribosomal RNA
Source: RNAcentral
CAGCCGUAAACUAUGCGCGUUAGGUGUACUGGUGACCACGAGUCACCGGGGUGCCGAAGGGAAACCGUGAAACGUGCCGCCUGGGAAGUACGGUCGCAAGGCUGAAACUUAAAGGAUUAGCGGGGGAGCACCACAACGGGUGGAGCCUGCGGUUUAAUGGAUUCAACGCCGGACAUCUCACCGGAUAAGACAGCUGAAUGAUUGUCAAUCUGAAGGUUUUACAUGACUAGCUGAGAGGAGGUGCAUGGCGUCAGUGACU